AGCGAACGCUGGCGGCAGGCCUAACACAUGCAAGUCGAACGAACCUUUCGGGGUUAGUGGCGGACGGGUGAGUAACACGUGGGAACGUGCCUUUAGGUUCGGAAUAACUCAGGGAAACUUGUGCUAAUACCGAAUGUGCCCUUCGGGGGAAAGAUUUAUCGCCUUUAGAGCGGCCCGCGUCUGAUUAGCUAGUUGGUUGAGGUAAUGGCUCACCAAGGCGACGAUCAGUAGCUGGUCUGAGAGGAUGAUCAGCCACAUUGGGACUGAGACACGGCCCAAACUCCUACGGGAGGCAGCAGUGGGGAAUCUUGCGCAAUGGGCGAAAGCCUGACGCAGCCAUGCCGCGUGAAUGAUGAAGGUCUUAGGAUUGUAAAUUUCUUUCACCGGGGACGAUAAUGACGGUACCCGGAGAAGAAGCCCCGGCUAACUUCGUG
Molecule: ribosomal RNA, 434 nt
Filed under: uncultured bacterium
Lineage: Bacteria
Description: partial 16S ribosomal RNA
Rfam family: Bacterial small subunit ribosomal RNA
Source: RNAcentral